AACACAUGCAAGUCGAGCGGUAACAGGCGUAGCAAUACGUCUGACGAGCGGCGAACGGGUGAGCAAUGCUUCGGAAUCUGCCCCAAUGAUGGGAAUAACCAGUCGAAAGAUUGGCUAAUACCGCAUACGCCCUUCGGGGGAAAGCAGGGGAUCGCAAGACCUUGCGUCGAUGGAUGAGCCGAAGUCGGAUUAGCUUGUUGGUGAGGUAACGGCUCACCAAGGCGACGAUCAGUAGCUGGUCUGAGAGGAUGAUCAGCCUCACUGGGACUGAGACACGGCCCAGACUCCUACGGGAGGCAGCAGUAGGGAAUAUUGGACAAUGGGCGCAAGCCUGAUCCAGCCAUGCCGCGUGGGUGAUGAAGGCCCUAGGGUUGUAAAGCCCUUUCGGCGGGGAAGAUAAUGACGGUACCCGCAGAAGAAGCCCC
RNAcentral lists this ribosomal RNA (425 nucleotides) under grassland soil clone sl3_620. RNAcentral's name for it is "bacterial SSU rRNA". It matches the Rfam family "Bacterial small subunit ribosomal RNA", at positions 50 to 494 of the family's 1533-position model. The record is from RNAcentral.